This 253-nucleotide ribosomal RNA is filed under the name uncultured bacterium. RNAcentral's name for it is "partial 16S ribosomal RNA". It matches the Rfam family "Bacterial small subunit ribosomal RNA", at positions 524 to 776 of the family's 1533-position model. The record is from RNAcentral.
UACGUAGGGUGCAAGCGUUGUCCGGAAUUAUUGGGCGUAAAGAGCUCGUAGGCGGUCUGUCGCGUCGGCUGUGAAAUCCCGCGGCUCAACUGCGGGUCUGCAGUCGAUACGGGCAGGCUAGAGUUCGGUAGGGGAGACUGGAAUUCCUGGUGUAGCGGUGAAAUGCGCAGAUAUCAGGAGGAACACCGGUGGCGAAGGCGGAUCUCUGGGCCAUUACUGACGCUGAGGAGCGAAAGCGUGGGGAGCGAACAGG